GAUGAACGCUGGCGGCGUGCUUAACACAUGCAAGUCGAACGGUGAACCCGGGGCUUGCUCUGUGGGAUCAGUGGCGAACGGGUGAGUAACACGUGAGCAACCUGCCCCUGACUCUGGGAUAAGCGCUGGAAACGGCGUCUAAUACUGGAUAUGUGACGUGACCGCAUGGUCUGCGUUUGGAAAGAUUUUUCGGUUGGGGAUGGGCUCGCGGCCUAUCAGCUUGUUGGUGAGGUAAUGGCUCACCAAGGCGUCGACGGGUAGCCGGCCUGAGAGGGUGACCGGCCACACUGGGACUGAGACACGGCCCAGACUCCUACGGGAGGCAGCAGUGGGGAAUAUUGCACAAUGGGCGCAAGCCUGAUGCAGCAACGCCGCGUGAGGGAUGACGGCCUUCGGGUUGUAAACCUCUUUUAGCAGGGAAGAAGCGAAAGUGACGGUACCUGCAGAAAAAGCGCCGGCUAACUACGUG
Molecule: ribosomal RNA, 469 nt
Filed under: uncultured bacterium
Lineage: Bacteria
Description: partial 16S ribosomal RNA
Rfam family: Bacterial small subunit ribosomal RNA
Source: RNAcentral